This 724-nucleotide long non-coding RNA is filed under the name Salvia miltiorrhiza (redroot sage). RNAcentral's name for it is "long non-coding RNA (SMIL_LNC011312)". Lineage: Eukaryota; Viridiplantae; Streptophyta; Magnoliopsida; Lamiales; Lamiaceae. The record is from RNAcentral.
CUGUAUGAAUCGAACUUGAGUCUUGAGCUUUGUCGGGUGUGGGCUGUGUGGUUGUAAGUGUCGAGUUUGGGGGGGAGUGAGUCUCCUGUCCUUGUGUGUCCGAGUCAGGGGAGGGAGUGAGACAGCCGGCGGCUGCUCACGGCCGGCAACGGCGCGGCGGCAGGCGGCGCUCAGUCCCUGUUCUGCCAGAAAACAAGAGAGGAGAGGAGAGAGUUUAGGAUUUCAGUUUUCAAUAAAAAAAAAGAGAGAGAAAGGGGAGGACAGAGAGAAAAGGGGGAGAAACUUACCUAUUUCCGGUGGCGACGCGGCGGCAGAAGCACCACGGCUGCUGCUGUCGGCCAAAGGAGAAAGAGAGGCAGGGCAGUGGUGGCGCCGGAUCCGGAAAAGGAGGGCGCGGCCGCUGCUGCCCGGCCACGGCUGGAGAAAGAGAAACCGAGGGAGGCGACGGCGGAUCUGCUGCGAGGACGCCGGAGGCAGCGGCGCUCAGCGGCGGUUGCUCCUGCUGCGUGAAGGAGAGAGGGCUGGGCGGCGCAGCCGCUGGGUGCGUGUGUUUGUGUAGGUAGAGGGAAAACUAGGGAGAAGAAGAUGGGGGAGAGGGAUGGCGGCGGCGGCGGCCGGCGCUGCUGCCGUCCGCCGGAGAAGAGAAGAAGGUGAGGGAGGGGGAAGGCUGCUGCACAGCAGCAGCUGCGUGUGUGCGUGUGUUUGUGUUGUGAGUGUGACCGAG